Molecule: ribosomal RNA, 931 nt
Filed under: uncultured bacterium
Lineage: Bacteria
Description: bacterial SSU rRNA
Rfam family: Bacterial small subunit ribosomal RNA
Source: RNAcentral
AGAGUUUGAUCCUGGCUCAGAACGAACGCUGGCGGCGUGCCUAACACAUGCAAGUCGAGCGAGAAAGUCCGCAAGGAUGAGUAAAGCGGCGCACGGGUGCGUAACACGUGGGUAAUCUUCCUUGGAGCCCGGAAUAACUCCCCGAAAGGGGUGCUAAUGCCGGAUGAGACCACGGGAUCUCUGGAUCCUGAGGGAAAAGGCGGCCUCUGUAUACAAGCUGUCACUCCAAGAUGAGCCCGCGGCCCAUCAGCUAGUUGGCGGGGUAAUGGCCCACCAAGGCUACGACGGGUAGCUGGUCUGAGAGGACGAUCAGCCACACUGGAACUGAGACACGGUCCAGACUCCUACGGGAGGCAGCAGUGGGGAAUCUUGCGCAAUGGGCGAAAGCCUGACGCAGCAACGCCGCGUGUGUGAUGAAGGUCUUCGGAUCGUAAAGCACUGUCGGGAGGGACGAAUAAGGUGACGGCUAACAUCCGUCGCUGAUGACGGUACCUCCAAAGGAAGCACCGGCUAACUCUGUGCCAGCAGCCGCGGUAAUACAGAGGGUGCUAGCGUUGUUCGGAUUUAUUGGGCGUAAAGCGCGUGUAGGCGGCCAUGCAAGUUGGGUGUGAAAGCCCUCGGCUUAACCGAGGAAGUGCGCCCAAAACUACUUGGCUUGAGUACCGGAGAGGGUGGCGGAAUUCCCGGUGUAGAGGUGAAAUUCGUAGAUAUCGGGAGGAACACCAGUGGCGAAGGCGGCCACCUGGACGGAUACUGACGCUGAGACGCGAAAGCGUGGGGAGCAAACAGGAUUAGAUACCCUGGUAGUCCACGCUGUAAACGAUGAGCGCUAGGUGUUGUGGGUGUUGACCCCCGCAGUGCCGCAGCUAACGCAUUAAGCGCUCCGCCUGGGAAGUACGGCCGCAAGGCUAAAACUCAAAGGAAUUGAUGG